GAUGAACGCUGGCGGCGUGCCUAAUACAUGCAAGUCGAGCGAACAGACGAGGAGCUUGCUCCUUUGACGUUAGCGGCGGACGGGUGAGUAACACGUGGGUAACCUACCUAUAAGACUGGGAUAACUUCGGGAAACCGGAGCUAAUACCGGAUAAUAUUUCGAACCGCAUGGUUCGAUAGUGAAGGAUGGCUUUGCUAUCACUUAUAGAUGGACCUGCGCCGUAUUAGCUAGUUGGUAAGGUAACGGCUUACCAAGGCAACGAUACGUAGCCGACCUGAGAGGGUGAUCGGCCACACUGGAACUGAGACACGGUCCAGACUCCUACGGGAGGCAGCAGUAGGGAAUCUUCCGCAAUGGGCGAAAGCCUGACGGAGCAACGCCGCGUGAGUGAUGAAGGUCUUCGGAUCGUAAAACUCUGUUAUUAGGGAAGAACAAACGUGUAAGUAACUGUGCACGUCUUGACGGUACCUAAUCAGAAAGCCACGGCUAACUACGUGCCAGCAGCCGCGGUAAUACGUAGGUGGCAAGCGUUAUCCGGAAUUAUUGGGCGUAAAGCGCGCGUAGGCGGUUUUUUAAGUCUGAUGUGAAAGCCCACGGCUCAACCGUGGAGGGUCAUUGGAAACUGGAAAACUUGAGUGCAGAAGAGGAAAGUGGAAUUCCAUGUGUAGCGGUGAAAUGCGCAGAGAUAUGGAGGAACACCAGUGGCGAAGGCGACUUUCUGGUCUGUAACUGACGCUGAUGUGCGAAAGCGUGGGGAUCAAACAGGAUUAGAUACCCUGGUAGUCCACGCCGUAAACGAUGAGUGCUAAGUGUUAGGGGGUUUCCGCCCCUUAGUGCUGCAGCUAACGCAUUAAGCACUCCGCCUGGGGAGUACGACCGCAAGGUUGAAACUCAAAGGAAUUGACGGGGACCCGCACAAGCGGUGGAGCAUGUGGUUUAAUUCGGAGCAACGCGAAGAACCUUACCAAAUCUUGGCAUCCUUUGACCCUUCUAGAGAUAGAAGUUUCCCCUUCGGGGGACAAAGUGACAGGUGGUGCAUGGUUGUCGUCAGCUCGUGUCGUGAGAUGUUGGGUUAAGUCCCGCAACGAGCGCAACCCUUAAGCUUAGUUGCCAUCAUUAAGUUGGGCACUCUAAGUUGACUGCCGGUGACAAACCGGAGGAAGGUGGGGAUGACGUCAAAUCAUCAUGCCCCUUAUGAUUUGGGCUACACACGUGCUACAAUGGACAAUACAAAGGGCAGCGAAACCGCGAGGUCAAGCAAAUCCCAUAAAGUUGUUCUCAGUUCGGAUUGUAGUCUGCAACUCGACUACAUGAAGCUGGAAUCGCUAGUAAUCGUAGAUCAGCAUGCUACGGUGAAUACGUUCCCGGGUCU
Molecule: ribosomal RNA, 1372 nt
Filed under: uncultured bacterium
Lineage: Bacteria
Description: bacterial SSU rRNA
Rfam family: Bacterial small subunit ribosomal RNA
Source: RNAcentral